GGAUUGUUGAAGCCCGAUGAUGUGGGAGAUUCAGAUAUCGAGAUUCCAGAAUUUAAUGUUUCUUAUAAGCCACAGAAAAUCAGUCCCAAGUUCCAACAUAAUGUGAGGCAUUUGUUGCAUUCAAAAAUUCGGGAUUCAUAUAUGCAUCCCCAAUUCACCUCUGAUGUUAUGAAACCCUUGCAAAUCGAACAAUUGAUGGACCAAGAGGUUGUAAAUCUUUCUGGUGGAGA
RNAcentral lists this unclassified non-coding RNA (230 nucleotides) under Hevea brasiliensis (rubber tree). The record is from RNAcentral. Lineage: Eukaryota; Viridiplantae; Streptophyta; Magnoliopsida; Malpighiales; Euphorbiaceae.